Non-coding RNA from Amycolatopsis mediterranei S699, 134 nucleotides. NCBI's taxonomy places the organism in Bacteria, Bacillati, Actinomycetota, Actinomycetes, Pseudonocardiales, Pseudonocardiaceae. The record is from Rfam.
CGCUCAUCCAGAGGGGCAGAGGGAACGGCCCGACGAAGCCCCGGCAACCGGCGUACAGCCUGUCAUCCCGCGAUCGCGGGAUAGCUGACGACCACGGUGCCAAUUCCGGCCCGCUUCGGCGGGGCAGAUGAGGA